This 300-nucleotide ribosomal RNA is filed under the name Anguilla obscura (Pacific shortfinned eel). RNAcentral describes it as "partial 16S ribosomal RNA". It matches the Rfam family "Bacterial large subunit ribosomal RNA", at positions 2266 to 2613 of the family's 2925-position model. Lineage: Eukaryota; Metazoa; Chordata; Actinopteri; Anguilliformes; Anguillidae. The record is from RNAcentral.
AAAUGUCUUCGGUUGGGGCGACCAUGGGGGAAAGAAAAGCCCCCACGAGGAACUAGGGGCAAUCCAUUAAGCCAAGAGAUACACCUCUAAGCAACAGAAAAUCUGACCAAAAAUGACCCAGGACACUAAUCCUGAUCAACGAACCAAGUUACCCUAGGGAUAACAGCGCAAUCCUUUCCCAGAGUCCAUAUCGACGAAAGGGUUUACGACCUCGAUGUUGGAUCAGGACAUCCUAAUGGUGCAGCCGCUAUUAAGGGUUCGUUUGUUCAACGAUUAAUAGUCCUACGUGAUCUGAGUUCA